RNAcentral lists this ribosomal RNA (492 nucleotides) under uncultured bacterium. RNAcentral describes it as "partial 16S ribosomal RNA". It matches the Rfam family "Bacterial small subunit ribosomal RNA", at positions 29 to 507 of the family's 1533-position model. The record is from RNAcentral.
AGUGAACGCUGGCGGUAGGCCUAACACAUGCAAGUCGAACGGCAGCACAGUAAGAGCUUGCUCUUACGGGUGGCGAGUGGCGGACGGGUGAGGAAUACAUCGGAAUCUACUUUUUCGUGGGGGAUAACGUAGGGAAACGUACGCUAAUACCGCAUACGACCUACGGGUGAAAGCAGUGGAUCUUCGGACCUUGCGCGAUUGCAUGAGCCGAUGUCGGAUUAGCUAGUUGGCGGGGUAAAGGCCCACCAAGGCGACGAUCCGUAGCUGGUCUGAGAAGAUGAAGAGCGACGAUAUGACAGAUGAAACGCAAAGACUCCUUGCGGGGGCACAGGUGGCGAAUAUUCGACAGUAGACGAAAGCCUGAUCAUGCCAUACCGAGUAGGUGAAGAAGUACUACGGGUUGGAAAGCCCUGUUGUUGGGAAAGAAAAGCAGCAGGUUAAUACCCCGCUGUUCUGACGGUACCUAACCAAUAAGCACCGGCUAACUUCGUG